AAGUAUUGUUCAGGAACCGGUAUUGAAGUCAAGGUAUCGUUAUCGAUAUCGAAAAUUUUUGAACGAUACCCAGCCCUACUUAUGAACUACAACAA
Long non-coding RNA from Sinocyclocheilus anshuiensis, 95 nucleotides. RefSeq lists it as uncharacterized. The record is from RefSeq and is a predicted model, not a curated record. NCBI's taxonomy places the organism in Eukaryota, Metazoa, Chordata, Actinopteri, Cypriniformes, Cyprinidae. The transcript has 3 exons.